CGAAAUGUUCUAGUAUAAGCACUUUAUACUGUGAACUGCGAAUGGCUCAUUAAAUCAGUUAUCGUUUAUUUGAUAGUACCUUACUACAUGGAUACCUGUGGUAAUUCUAGAGCUAAUACAUGCUAAAAACCUCGACUUCGGAAGGGGUGUAUUUAUUAGAUAAAAAACCAAUGCCCUUCGGGGCUCCUUGGUGAUUCAUAAUAACUUAACGAAUCGCAUGGCCUUGCGCCGGCGAUGGUUCAUUCAAAUUUCUGCCCUAUCAACUUUCGAUGGUAGGAUAGUGGCCUACCAUGGUGGCAACGGGUAACGGGGAAUUAGGGUUCGAUUCCGGAGAGGGAGCCUGAAAAACGGCUACCACAUCCAAGGAAUGCAGCAGGCGCACAAUUUACCCAAU
Molecule: ribosomal RNA, 394 nt
Filed under: Aspergillus flavus
Lineage: Eukaryota; Fungi; Ascomycota; Eurotiomycetes; Eurotiales; Aspergillaceae
Description: SSU rRNA
Rfam family: Eukaryotic small subunit ribosomal RNA
Source: RNAcentral